This is a long non-coding RNA of Dromaius novaehollandiae (emu), 4673 nucleotides long. RefSeq lists it as uncharacterized. Lineage: Eukaryota; Metazoa; Chordata; Aves; Casuariiformes; Dromaiidae. The record is from RefSeq and is a predicted model, not a curated record. The transcript has 5 exons.
ACGCUGGUGCUGAGGCGCAGGGCGAUGACGCGCGCAAGGGCAAGGGCAGCGGCAGCGAGAGGGAAGGGCAGCAGGAGGGAGCGCGUCUUUUCAUGUUUUCUGUGCUGGUAAUGAAGUCUAUAGGACAGACCACACAGGUGUAAAGAUGGGAAUGUGAGAGAAAAAGAUCAAGAAUGGUACGUCUGGAGAAGUUCUUGGAUGAUGCCAAUACCUUCUUGGGAGACGAGGAAGGGAUUUUCUUAGCUGAUAUUUGCUUCAUUUUCAGCGUUUCUCCAUCUGUUUUAAUUUCAGGCUGUUGGACAUCAUGCUCCAAGGCAGAGUUGAAGAAGCAACACCAAGCAGUGAUGCAGUUGUCACAGUGGAAGGAAAGAGCCUAAAACAAGUUCUCAUCCUACAGUUAUUCCUCCUGCUGUCAAACUGGUUUACUCUGCAAUGACUCUUGAGGUUACUUUUCAUACAAGGAAAAAAACCCUAAGAUCUGUUUCCUAGCUUUCAUCCUUCAGAAACUGGUCACUACAAGCUCUCUGCUGAUUUCCCUCUGAGGUGGAGUAUUAGUGGUCCUGCCACCAAAGGACAAUCCAGCGUUUAGCCGUAAUACUUUGAUACUGCUCCUGCUGAGCCUAGCUGUAAAGGUUUCUGGUUUUACUGAUGCAGAAUCAGGCCCUUGGCUUUGUUUGCUGUUCAGGAUGAAUUCCCUGUGCAAAAUCACACUGGAAUGCAAAGUGAUGGCAGAGUGUAGCCUACUGCAGUACUUCUUGAGUAAUGAAUCUCAGGUGAAAAAAAGCAAUUGUACAUAUUUUUUGUGCUGUAAGUAUACAAGAUAAUUUUGGGAAAUGAAAUAUUAUGCAUAGGCCCUACUACCAUUUUUAGAAUCAAAACAACUUCAAAGACCAUCAAGUUCAUCCGCAAUGAUAAUAUUUAUUGUGGGUUUUCAAGGGAGGCCAUGAACAAUUGCUUUGAACUUUAAAAGCAAUCAUGACAAAUCAUUUAAAGGAGAGAUGCCAAGUGUUUUGACAUCCAGGCCACAUGGGGUUUACAAAUGGAGACUGUGAGCCAGAGGGGAAUUGCUCCCCUGGGUAAGAGAAUCUGUUUCCACGACCUACUGUGAUCCUCUUCAAGUGUACGGUACAUUUCCUUUCUAUGCAAAACACUGCGAUUUCUAAUUCAUAAAGUGAUUUAAAAGGUCACUAUCAAAGAGUGACUUGUCUGAGGGGUUUAAAAUUCAGACGUUUCCUCAGAUUCCCUUGAAAUUUUCUGUGCCUAUGGGAUAGGGUUAAUGAUCCUGAAAGGGCAUGAUUUGAACAAGUCACUUCCAAAGAACGUCCUCUCCACCUGCUUUGAAAGCAUGCCAGUAUAAGUUCAAAAAGUUCUCCUGAUCUUUUUACAUUUACUUGGAGCUUAAAAAAUGGCCCAGACAACAGUGCUGCAUAUUAUCCAGGGACUAAGGUACACGGUAACUGCUGAACAGAGUCUAGCACCUUCUUAACUAAGGCAACACUUGUAUUUGGAUGAACUGUACCAAACAGGACUUGUACUUGUCUACUUUGAAACCCAGAGUUUCUUCUGAAGAAUACUUCUACCUUCUACAGUCUCUUCACCUCCCAUAACUACUUUUAAGCCAUGAACUUAGGAGGCUAUGGAACAGACCACUGCCCUCUCUUCUAAUCUAAAAUGUAACAAGCUAAGCAACAGAACUGAGUUUCAUCAUGGGGCAUGUGGCAAGGCUUGGCAACCCUGCCUUAAUGUCAAAGCCUAAAUCCUGGUCACACUGAUCUCACAUUACAAAAAAUCUUAGGAAAUUCAGGAGACCAAGAUUUUGCCUUUUGAAUUACAAUGCCUCCCUCUCUUUAUUUGCUAUUUAUGGGGGAUCUAAGAUGGAUAAUCAAGAUGGUGCACUGAUUAAUAAAGAAGCUAUCACUUAACAAAUUAUAUACAAAUCAUUAAAACCAAACAGAUGACUCUGUGACGUAUCUAGAAAGAUACAGGGUUUAUGUCCAUCCUGGUCACCAACCCACUCUUGCUAUGUUCUGUAAAGACUGGUAAAGACUUGUUUCCGACAGAAAUCCUUCUCUGGGCUUUUCCCAAACCAGUGAUGUUUUCACAGAGAGACAGUAGCAUCUAUUUUCUGUUACAUGAGAAUCCAUUAUACCAUACCAUAGAGUAUUAUACCCCCUAAGUCAAGCUGGAAUGCAAUCAGAGGAAAAGGAAUCUCAUCCACUGAAAGGGAACAUGACAAACUAAAAUUCCGCAUUUGAAAAAAUAAACAUAUAUUGAGUGGUGGGAACACCGUGCCUGUCUUCAACUUCACAUUUAGCUGGAGAGUGGGAACAGUGGGAGAUUUAAUGAUUCAGUCAGAAUUUACAUAGGAAACAGGAUGAUGGGUCAGAGGAAAUGCUUAUUUAUAAAAAGCUUUUAUGCUGAUCUGGUUUGGGCUCUUACACCCAUACAAAGAAGACAUUCCAGGUUUCCAGGCCACUUGCCCCCAAAGACCAUGAACAUUUUCUUCAGUGCUUUAGGGAUAGUAUUGAUUCUUGCUGGGCUAUAUCCAAGUCUUACUAAACUCACAGGAGUUUUGCUACUGAUUAUGGGGCUCUCUGGAGAUAACCUGUCAACACUGAUAUGGUUGGUCACUUCAGUCUCUGCACUCAUAUAUUUCCCUUCCAGACAUAAUCUCAGAAUAAGCAUUUUAGUUUCUAUUUAAUACUGAGACUCCAAAAACUGUAACACUUGUUUAUGCAAUAUUUUACUGAGGAACAGUUAAGAGUUUCCACAUGCACAAGCAGUAUUAUGAGUACAAGUGAACAAGUUUUAUACCCCUCAGCUCUCAGCAUCUAUGUAGUGCCAUUGCUCCACAACUUUAUGUUGAACACUUCACAACAAGCACCUGAGCUCAAGGCAGGCCAAAUUAUACUAACUGAAAGAGGCAAAGAAUGACUAGAAAAUCAGCCCAAAAUAUCAAGUGUCAACAUUUGAUUCUGAUUUUAAAAAAACGAAACAUACUAUAGACUUGUACAUUGCUGCUAGUGUCUGUUAACGGAGGACAAAAUGCUCCGACUGGCUAUGCUUUUGCUCUCCCAACAGCAUUGCCUGUGCAUGAAGAACACAUUGAUAUGGUAAUUCAAAGCAGUCGUCCAAGUCUUUAGAGCAACCGAUAAUAUACGUCAUACAAGUUAAAUACUCCAGAAGAGUAGAAUCAACAUGAGAAAAAUACAGAAUCUGAAAUGAGAUUCUGGAAAAUUACUCUUUCUAUGAUUCAAACUGACUCACUGAAUGAAUGGUGUUCUGAAAGUGGAAUAUAUCUACCAGAAUUGAUCAGGAAUUUUUCAAUGACUGUUUUUUGUCAAAAAAUCUCUCUUUAUCUUAGGCAUGAAUCUUAUGGAAAAUUGAUGGAAAUAAAAUGUUGUGCUUCUGUCUCUUAAUUGUUUUGUAACUGCCACAAUAUCCUAUUUUCUAUAUGAAAAUUCUGUUUUUAAGUCAAUUUAUUUUCAUUCCAAAAUUAAGUAUAUUUUAAGCUAAAAAGGUUAUAUUUUUAAAAGAAGUGUUAAAUUCAAAGCAAAUAUUUCCACUGUCUCAAGCUAAUUACAUUUUUAAGUUUAGCUAAUGAAAACAUUAAGAAUUUUUGGGAUACUUUCAAACAGGAAACUUUUCAAUGUGUCAAAAUUUUCUGUGAGGUAGGAAAGUAAUUUCCUCCCUGUCUUAAUACAUACCCUGAUUCAUAUUAUUCAUGCUGCAUUUCUACAAUUACUUUAUUAACUGUAGAAUCUUCAUUUUCUUUUCAUGUCACUUUUUGUAACAUGAUUUGAAAGUGAGAACUUAAGAAGGGAGCUGGUUUAUUUUCAUUUACAUUUCUGUAAAGGUAACCAUUGACUUUACUACUAUAAAUACGGUCAAAAUUAGGCUUCCCUUCAGGCCAUGCUGUAACGAGUUUCAUGGAAGUGGUUUCAUCACACACUAAGUUGCAGUAACUCAUUUAAAGCUGCCUAAGCAGUUACAGUAUUUGAAAUCACAGCAGCUAGUGGUAGUCAGCACCAUGGCUGUGAAAAACAGUGCAGAGGUGCUUAUUAACAUCUUUUAUUGGCUGACGUUCACAUUUAAAUUUAAGUUCAAGCUAACAACUUAAGGACUUUCAAACAUUAGACUAGUCAGUAGUGAACAGGUUUAAAAUACAGGAAUACACAUCCAUAAAACAAGAUUCUUUAAGCUUUGUGUAUCUCAGUUUGGAAUUAUCCAGAGCUUUUGGUUUAGACAAACUUUAGCUCCAUCUCUGUGCAAGAACCGUAAAAAGCACUGUGAUGCCACUGAUACAUUUUUCUUCCAUAUAGUAGAAUUAAGGAUUAAACUGAUAUGAGAAACUCAGUUCUGGAUUUUGAGUUUUACUAUAAAACCUAUCUGGAGAGAGAGUUUUGCCCUGUCCUUCAGAUAAAAAAGAAGAAAAAAUGGCUCACUCACUUUCUAGCUAGAGCAAUGUAAUAUAAUUGUAACUCUGUUGUCUUUAAUGCUGUGAUGUAUAAUCACUGUGUGUGAGAAAAAAAUCUGACCAGAAGACUACCAAGGAGAACUUAGCACACAAGCCUGUUAUUGCUUUAAGAUUUUGUACCUUGGAGAGAGGUUUCUUCUUGCCUUGAAAUUGCAAACAGCCUGUUUAUUCAAAAGCUUUCAAAAUGUAAAUUCAA